CUGAGCGGGAGGGGCCGCACUCGCUCUUCGGGCGAGCCUGCGCCAACCUCAGCUCCGGCCUCCCUGGCCAGGGACGAUCACCUCUACAGGACGGCAGCGGGGAGUGAGUGAUGGAGCUGGAAAUGGG
RNAcentral lists this long non-coding RNA (127 nucleotides) under Gopherus agassizii (Agassiz's desert tortoise). Its description in RNAcentral is "lncRNA (ENSGAGG00000012391.1)". Lineage: Eukaryota; Metazoa; Chordata; Testudines; Testudinidae. The record is from RNAcentral.